CCCGCCGGGCCGCGAGCCUUCUUGUAAGGACCGACGAAAGAAACGGAGAAAGUACCCACCCCGCCAGGCCGCUGCCCGCACUCACCCGAACGGGUGACGGGUGAUCAGAUCAGCGGUUCGGGUGAGGUACGGUCGGCGCUACAACAGCACACGAAAUGGCCCCCGGCAGGACGGCAAUCCUGGUCGAGGGCCUGACCACCAAGGAAGAAGUAGCUUCCCG
This 220-nucleotide non-coding RNA is filed under the name Actinacidiphila bryophytorum. RNAcentral describes it as "Streptomyces sRNA 4677". It matches the Rfam family "Streptomyces sRNA 4677". From Rfam's summary of the family: Located in the intergenic region between anti-sigma factor SCO4677 gene and a putative regulatory protein gene SCO4676. scr4677 expression requires the SCO4677 activity and scr4677 sRNA itself seem to affect the levels of the SCO4676-associated transcripts. The record is from Rfam by way of RNAcentral. Lineage: Bacteria; Bacillati; Actinomycetota; Actinomycetes; Kitasatosporales; Streptomycetaceae.